RNAcentral lists this unclassified non-coding RNA (303 nucleotides) under Priapulus caudatus. Its description in RNAcentral is "mitochondrial import inner membrane translocase subunit Tim10 B-like, transcript variant X2". Lineage: Eukaryota; Metazoa; Priapulida; Priapulimorpha; Priapulimorphida; Priapulidae. The record is from RNAcentral.
UUCUUUGUAUCUCCCGUCUCUGAUUUAAACUAAAACAAACUAAAUUUUUCGCCUAAGAGUUUCGGGAUUUCCUGCAGUUGUACAACAAUGUCACUCAGACUUGCUUCGAUGCGUGUGUAACUGAUAUGCACUACAGGAAGAUGACAGAUAGUGAGGGAAGCUGCAUUGAUACUUGCUCUAGCAAAUUUGUGAAUGUAAAUCACAGGAUGAUGUCACUGUUUAUGGAGCUAGCGCCGAAGCUUGGUUUCCUGUCUCAGCCUGGAGGCAAUACAGGCAACCCUCUUACAAAGUGAAGACGAACAC